GAGAUUUUCAUUCAUUAGUAAGACUCUAAAAGAGACGGUCGCAUAUGCACAUAUGUUUAUAAGGUGCAUACUAUGUUCCAACAACUCUUGUUGUUGUUGAUAUUGUUUGAUCUCCUUCAAACAUUCUUGCUAAACCAAAAUCUGAAAUCUUCGCGUUUAGGUUCUCGUCUAACAAAAUAUUGCUCGUUUUCAGGUCCCUGUGGAUGACAUUGAGUCUGGAAUCAUGGUGGAGGUAGAGGAGGCCUCUUGCAAUCCCCAUAAUGAUCUCAAACCGCUUUGGCCAAUUCAGCAGGGCUCUUCUUCGCUGAUCUGCAGCAGUUGCUGAAGAGUUUUAAGUGAGGGUAAGUAUACAUUUCUGAUUAUGUGCUAUGUUUAUUGGCUUAAAGGGAUUGAUCGAACCAAAAAUGAAAUGAUCCAAGCUUCUGUUCAGCAUGUACUCGUAGAUCAGCAUCUUUUCCUCCCCUUCAACGCAGCAUCCCAAGAUCUUGACGAGGUUCCUGUGCU
This 504-nucleotide long non-coding RNA is filed under the name Salvia miltiorrhiza (redroot sage). RNAcentral's name for it is "long non-coding RNA (SMIL_LNC008465)". Lineage: Eukaryota; Viridiplantae; Streptophyta; Magnoliopsida; Lamiales; Lamiaceae. The record is from RNAcentral.